AGUUAACGCUGGCGGUAUGCCUAACACAUGCAAGUCGCGCGGGUCCUUGUAGUGUAUCGCAGGGAUUAGCGGCAAACGGGUGAGUAACACGUAAGAAACCUUCCCAUAAGCGGGGGAUACCUCCGAGAAAUCGGAAUCAAUACCCCAUAAGACCACGAGAAGACAUCUUCCUGAGGUCAAACCCGCAAGGGGCUUUUGGAUGGUCUUGCGCUCUAUCAGCUUGUUGGCGGGGUAACGGCCCACCAAGGCUAUGACGGAUAUCCGGCCUGAAAGGGUGAACGGACACACUGGAACUGAGACACGGUCCAGACUCCUACGGGAGGCAG
This 326-nucleotide ribosomal RNA is filed under the name uncultured Elusimicrobia bacterium. RNAcentral describes it as "bacterial SSU rRNA". It matches the Rfam family "Bacterial small subunit ribosomal RNA", at positions 29 to 351 of the family's 1533-position model. The record is from RNAcentral. Lineage: Bacteria; Pseudomonadati; Elusimicrobiota; Elusimicrobia.